This 253-nucleotide ribosomal RNA is filed under the name uncultured bacterium. RNAcentral's name for it is "partial 16S ribosomal RNA". It matches the Rfam family "Bacterial small subunit ribosomal RNA", at positions 524 to 776 of the family's 1533-position model. The record is from RNAcentral.
UACGUAGGGUGCAAGCGUUGUCCGGAAUUACUGGGCGUAAAGCGCAUGUAGGCGGCCUAGCAGGUCGGAUGUGAAAUCCCUCGGCUCAACCAAGGAAGUGCAUUCGAAACCGCAAGGCUGGAGUCCCGGAGAGGAUGGUGGAAUUCUCGGUGUAGAGGUGAAAUUCGUAGAUAUCGAGAGGAACACCGGCGGCGAAGGCGGCCAUCUGGACGAGGACUGACGCUGAGAUGCGAAAGCGUGGGGAGCAAACAGG